RNAcentral lists this long non-coding RNA (931 nucleotides) under Ananas comosus (pineapple). Its description in RNAcentral is "long non-coding RNA (ACOM_LNC019931)". The record is from RNAcentral. Lineage: Eukaryota; Viridiplantae; Streptophyta; Magnoliopsida; Poales; Bromeliaceae.
UGUAGACUCUGCCGCAGCCUCUUGUUAUGUUUUGCCACCUUCUUUGAUUCGACUACCAAUUGUUGAUAUGCUGCGACCAUGUCAUCUUCGUCCGAUUCUUCAUCCGAUGAGUUCUCCGAAGAAGAUUUUUCAUGUAUAGACGACAUUGAGAGAGAAUCUGUAGAUGCUAAACACAUAAAGGUUGAAUCCUGUGCAAUCAGUGCCGUGGCAUUAACAUCCUCAUCACUUGAAGUUGAAUCGUCAGAAGAGGAGUCAUCCCAAGUAAUAGCUUGCAUCGCUUUCUUUUUCAAAGACUUUUUAUUUGGACAGUCCGAUGCAAUAUGGCCAAAUCACCUACACUUAUAGCAUUGAAUUUGACCUUCACUGCUUUUCUUCUCUUUUGUAGAGUCCUUUUGAAGGUUUUCCGAUUUUCUGAAUUUUGAUGAAGAAGAAGACGAACUCCCUUUAGAUUUGCUUGACUUGGAGGAAGUAGACUUGGGAGGAAACUUCUUUCUAAAGUUCCGAUGGAACUUCUUCGUUAGAAGCGCUAGUUGCUUUUCAAACUCCUCCAAGGUUUGCUCCGACUCCGAGUCCGAUGAAGUUGAAGUGACAUCUCCUUUUGUUGAUUUUAGAGCCAUCCCUGAAGCUUUAGAAGAAGACUUGGAAGAAGACAAAUUAGAAGAAAAAGUCAUCUCAUAAGUUUGAAGUGCACCUGUUAAGUCUUGUGUGUUGGCAAAUUUCGUGAAGUGAGUCGGAGUCUUGAAGAAUCGGUGAGUGUCGUUGAAGAUUGAAGAAUUCAAGAUUUCGAAGAAUUUAGAAAGUAAAUCACAAUGUGAAUCACGACGUAAAGGUAAUGUGUUAAUUCAUGUUAUGGUGAUUCAUACUUAGUUAUAGGUGUUAGAAUCAUUAUUAUUAAUGUUUAGCUGAUUAGAAAGUGCUUCGGAACUUUGUG